UCGAACGAGAAAGUGGAGCAAUCCAUGAGUACAGUGGCGUACGGGUGAGUAACACGUGGAUCAUCUACCUCUUAGUGGGGAAUAUCUUUGGGAAACCGAAGUUAAUACCGCAUAAGCUCGAGAGAGGAAACCCGCAAGGGGCUGAGAGAGGAGUCCGCGGCCGAUUAGCUAGUUGGUAGGGUAAAAGCCUACCAAGGCGUAGAUCGGUAGCCGGCCUGAGAGGGCACACGGCCACACUGGCACUGAGAACGGGCCAGACUCCUACGGGAGGCAGCAGUGGGGAAUCUUGCACAAUGGGGGAAACCCUGAUGCAGCGACGCCGCGUGAGCGAUGAAGCCCUUCGGGGUGUAAAGCUCUUUCGACGGGAACGAUAAUGACGGUACCCGGAGAAGAAGCUGCGGCUAACUACGUGCCAGCAGCCGCGGUAAUACGUAGGCAGCAAGCGUUGUUCGGAAUUACUGGGCGUAAAGAGUGCGUAGGCGGUUUUGCAAGUUUGGUGUGAAAUCUCCCGGCUUAACUGGGAGGGUGCGCCGAAAACUGCAAGGCUGGAGUAUGGGAGAGGUAGGCGGAAUUCCUGGUGUAGCGGUGAAAUGCGUAGAUAUCAGGAGGAACACCGGUGGUGUAGACGGCUUACUGGACCAUAACUGACGCUGAGGCACGAAAGCGUGGGGAGCAAACAGGAUUAGAUACCCUGGUAGUCCACGCCCUAAACGAUGCACACUUGGUGUGAGCGAUUCAUUUCGUUCGUGCCGGAGCUAACGCGUUAAGUGUGCCGCCUGGGGAGUACGGUCGCAA
Molecule: ribosomal RNA, 795 nt
Filed under: uncultured bacterium
Lineage: Bacteria
Description: bacterial SSU rRNA
Rfam family: Bacterial small subunit ribosomal RNA
Source: RNAcentral